AAGAAGAACAAGAAAUACAGAGACUGCUAACUAUCUGCCCAUGGUUAAAUUCCAUGAUCUCCUU
RNAcentral lists this transfer RNA (64 nucleotides) under Ensatina eschscholtzii klauberi (large-blotched Ensatina). RNAcentral describes it as "tRNA-Ser". Lineage: Eukaryota; Metazoa; Chordata; Amphibia; Caudata; Plethodontidae. The record is from RNAcentral.